UGGAAGACUAGUAAUUUUGUUGU
This 23-nucleotide non-coding RNA is filed under the name Drosophila melanogaster (fruit fly). RNAcentral also lists the same sequence under 2 other names. The record is from RNAcentral. Lineage: Eukaryota; Metazoa; Arthropoda; Insecta; Diptera; Drosophilidae.